This 379-nucleotide unclassified non-coding RNA is filed under the name uncultured bacterium. Its description in RNAcentral is "contains 16S-23S intergenic spacer region". The record is from RNAcentral.
UCCGGUUUGUCACCGGCAGUCUCCCAUGAGUCCCCAACUGAAUGCUGGCAACAUGGAACGGGGGUUGCGCUCGUUGCGGGACUUAACCCAACAUCUCACGACACGAGCUGACGACAGCCAUGCAGCACCUGUGUCCAGGUUCCCUUUCGGGCACACCCCCAUCUCUGGAGGCUUCCUGGCAUGUCAAGGGUAGGUAAGGUUUUUCGCGUUGCAUCGAAUUGAACCACAUGCUCCACCGCUUGUGCGGGUCCCCGUCAAUUCCUUUGAGUUUUAGCCUUGCGGCCGUACUCCCCAGGCGGAGUGCUUAACGCGUUAGCUGCGGCACCACGAGGGUCAAAGCCCGUGACACCUAGCACUCAUCGUUUACGGCGUGGACUAC